Molecule: ribosomal RNA, 1352 nt
Filed under: Helorus sp. ZJUH_2016017
Lineage: Eukaryota; Metazoa; Arthropoda; Insecta; Hymenoptera; Heloridae
Description: 16S ribosomal RNA
Source: RNAcentral
AUUUAUUAAUAAAUUAAAAAUUUUUUAAAUUUAAUUAAAAUUUUAUUAAAAUUUUAUUUAUAAUAUUUAAUUUUAGUAAAAAAAUUUGAAUAAAUAAAUUAUAGAAAAAUAAUUUUAUAUUAGUAUUGUGAAAGAAAUAAAUUUUUAUAAAAUAAUUUUAAGUAAAUAUAAAUAAUUGUACCUUUUGUAUCAUGGUUAAUUUAAAUAAUUUUAUAAAAUUAAUUUUUUCGAAGUUUAAAGAAUUAUAAAAAUAAAAUUUAAUAUGUUUUAAAUUAAAUAUAAAUAUUUUUAUAGAAAUUAAAUGUUAUUCAUUUUAAAUUUUAUCUAAUUUUUAAAUAAAUAAAUUGAAUUUAUAUAUAAUUUUAAAUUAAGUUUAUUUAAUAAAAUUUUAAUUUUAUUUUAUAUUAAAAAUUAUAGGGAUAAGCUUAUAAUUUAAUUUUAAAAAUUUAAAUAAAAAUAUAUAAAAAUAGAAAUAAAAUUUUUAUUUUUUAAUAAAAUUUUAAUAAAUUAUAUAAAUAUUUUUUUAUAAUAAUUAUAAUUAUAAAAUUUUAAUUUUUUAUUUAAAUAUUAAAUUUAAUAAAAAUUUUUAAAUAAUUUUGAUUAAAUUAGUAGUUAAAAAAUUUUAGAAUUAUUAUAAAUUUUUAAAAUAAUUUUAAAGAAUUAGGCAAAAUUUUAUUUUCACCUGUUUAACAAAAACAUGUCUUUUUGAGUUAAUAAAAAGUCAAAUCUGUCCAAUGAAUUUUAUUUAAGAAAUAUUUUAAAUGACUGCAGUAAUUUAACUGUACUAAGGUAGCAUAAUCAUUUGUUUUUUAAUUUGAAACUUGAAUGAAAGAUUAAAUGAAAAAUAAACUGUUUUAAUUUUAAUUAAAUAAAUUUAUUUUUUUAUUUAAAAAAAUAAAAUUUUUUUAAAAGACGAUAAGACCCUAUAGAAUUUAAUUUAAUAUAAGUAAAAUUAAAAUUUAAUUUAAAAUUUAUAAACAUAUAUAUUAAAUUUAAUUGGGGUUAUUUAAAAAUUUAAUUAAUUUUUUAAUUUUUUAAACAAAAAUUUUUGUUAAUUUUGAUUAAUUAAUAAUUAUUAAAAGAAUAAAUUACCUUAGGGAUAACAGCGUUAAUUUUUAAAUUAAUUUUAUUAAUUUAGAAAGUUUGCGACCUCGAUGUUGAAUUAAGAUAAAUUAUUAAUAUAAAAAUUAAAAAAUUAAGUCUGUUCGACUUUUAAAAUCUUACAUGAUUUGAGUUCAAAUCGGUGAAAGCCAGAUUGGUUUUUAUCUUUAAAAUAUUUUUUUUUAUUUGUACGAAAGGAUAGUAAAAUUUUAUUAAAUAAUUAAAUUUUGAAUUUGUUAAAAAUAUUUUAA